RNAcentral lists this small nuclear RNA (26 nucleotides) under Arabidopsis thaliana (thale cress). RNAcentral describes it as "snRNA_15125". Lineage: Eukaryota; Viridiplantae; Streptophyta; Magnoliopsida; Brassicales; Brassicaceae. The record is from RNAcentral.
GAAUUCACCAAGUGUUGGAUUGUUCA